UGCAGUCCGACGUGAAGGGGAGCAAUCCCCCGGUAGGGUGGCAAACGGGUGAGUAAGACAUGGGUGAUCUGCCCUGGAGAUGGGGAUAUCCCUCCGAAAGGGGGGGCAAUACCGAAUAGUAUCCGGUUCCGUGAAGGGGACCGGGGAAAGGGAGGCCUCUGGUACAAGCUUCCGCUCCUGGAUGAGCCCAUGGCCCAUCAGCUAGUUGGUAGGGUAAAGGCCUACCAAGGCGACGACGGGUAGCUGGUCUGAGAGGACAACCAGCCACACUGGCACUGAGACACGGGCCAGACUCCUACGGGAGGCAGCAGUGAGGAAUAUUGCGCAAUGGGGGCAACCCUGACGCAGCAACGCCGCGUGUGGGAAGAAGGCUUUCGGGUUGUAAACCACUUUUGCCCGGGACGAAAAGGGAUGUCAGAACACGGCAUUUCGAUGACGGUACCGGGAGAAUAAGCCACGGCUAACUCUGUGCCAGCAGCCGCGGUAAGACAGAGGUGGCAAGCGUUGUUCGGAAUUACUGGGCGUAAAGAGUCUGUAGGUGGUUUGUCAAGUCUUUGGUGAAAGGCCGUGGCUUAACCAUGGGAAUGCCAAAGAGACUGGCAGACUAGAGGCUGGGAGAGGGAA
Molecule: ribosomal RNA, 624 nt
Filed under: uncultured bacterium
Lineage: Bacteria
Description: bacterial SSU rRNA
Rfam family: Bacterial small subunit ribosomal RNA
Source: RNAcentral